Molecule: ribosomal RNA, 805 nt
Filed under: uncultured Acidobacteriota bacterium
Lineage: Bacteria; Pseudomonadati; Acidobacteriota
Description: bacterial SSU rRNA
Rfam family: Bacterial small subunit ribosomal RNA
Source: RNAcentral
UCGGACGGGGCUAAGGGGGCAACUCUUUAGCCCAGUGGCGCACGGGUGAGUAACACGUAGGUAACCUACCCGAAGGAGGGGGACAACCUCGGGAAACCGGGGCUAAUACCGCAUAAGACCACGGAACUGGGAUGUCUGUGGUAAAAGCAGAGAUGCACCUUCGGAUGGGCCUGCGGCCUACCAGGUAGUUGGUGGGGUAAUGGCCCACCAAGCCUAAGACGGGUAGCCGGUCUGAGAGGAUGGACGGCCACACUGGAACUGAGACACGGUCCAGACUCCUACGGGAGGCAGCAGUGGGGAAUUUUGCGCAAUGGGGGAAACCCUGACGCAGCGACGCCGCGUGGAGGAUGAAGGCCUUCGGGUUGUAAACUCCUUUUGUGGGGGACAAUGGUGAUGGUACCCCAUGAAGAAGCCCCGGCUAACUACGUGCCAGCAGCCGCGGUAAGACGUAGGGGGCCAGCGUUGCUCGGAAUGACUGGGCGUAAAGGGUCCGUAGGCGGUGUGGCGUGUCUGGAGUGAAAUGCUGAGGCUCAACCUCAGCGCUGCUCCGGAAACUGCCAUGCUCGAGUGUGGGAGAGGCGAGUGGAAUUGCAGGUGUAGCGGUGAAAUGCGUAGAUAUCUGCAGGAACACCAGUGGCGAAAGCGGCUCGCUGGACCACAACUGACGCUGAGGGACGAAAGCUAGGGGAGCAAACAGGAUUAGAUACCCUGGUAGUCCUAGCCCUAAACGAUCACGACUUGGCGUGUCCCAUUCAUUUGGGNNNUGCCGGAGCUAACGCGUUAAGUCCUGCGCCUGGGGAGUACG